CGGCGAGUGAAGCGGCAACAGCUCAGAUUUGAAAUCUGCCCUCACGGGCCGAGUUGUAAUCUGGAGAGGAUGCUUCUGGCAAGGCGCCGUCCGAGUUCCCUGGAACGGGACGCCGGAGAGGGUGAGAGCCCCGUACAGGCGGACGCCGAGCCUAUGUGAAGCUCCUUCGACGAGUCGAGUAGUUUGGGAAUGCUGCUCAAAGCGGGAGGUACAUUUCUUCUAAAGCUAAAUAUAGGCCAGAGACCGAUAGCGCACAAGUAGAGUGAUCGAAAGAUGAAAAGCACUUUGAAAAGAGGGUUAAAAAGCACGUGAAAUUGUUGAAAGGGAAGCGCCUGUGACCAGACUCGCGCCCGGCGGAUCAUCCGGCGUUCUCGCCGGUGCACUCCGCCGGGCUCGGGCCAGCAUCGGUUUUGGCGGGGGGAUAAAGGCGGCGGGGAUGUGGCUCCCUCGUGGAGUGUUAUAGCCCGUCGCUCAAUGCCCCCGCCGGGACCGAGGACCGCGCAUUUGCAAGGAUGCUGGCGUAAUGGUCACCAGCGACCCGUCUUGAAACACGGACCAAGGAGUCAAGCAUUAGGG
RNAcentral lists this ribosomal RNA (576 nucleotides) under Phomatospora sp. RNAcentral describes it as "partial large subunit ribosomal RNA". It matches the Rfam family "Eukaryotic large subunit ribosomal RNA", at positions 87 to 686 of the family's 3401-position model. The record is from RNAcentral. Lineage: Eukaryota; Fungi; Ascomycota; Sordariomycetes; Phomatosporaceae.